GAGUGUGUAGCUCAAGUGGUAGAGUGCGUGCUUGGCAUACACAAGGUCCUGGGUUCAAUCCCCAGUACCCCUU
This 73-nucleotide transfer RNA is filed under the name Camelus bactrianus (Bactrian camel). It matches the Rfam family "tRNA". Rfam says of the family: Transfer RNA (tRNA) molecules are approximately 80 nucleotides in length. Their secondary structure includes four short double-helical elements and three loops (D, anti-codon, and T loops). Lineage: Eukaryota; Metazoa; Chordata; Mammalia; Artiodactyla; Camelidae. RNAcentral also lists the same sequence under 2 other names. The record is from Rfam by way of RNAcentral.